UAAUACUGCCUGGUAAUGAUGA
Molecule: non-coding RNA, 22 nt
Filed under: Callorhinchus milii (elephant shark)
Lineage: Eukaryota; Metazoa; Chordata; Chondrichthyes; Chimaeriformes; Callorhinchidae
Also listed under: 15 other names
Source: RNAcentral